GACGAAGGGGGCUAGCGUUGUUCGGAAUUACUGGGCGUAACGCGAGUGUAGGUGGUUGUCCAAGUUGGAUGUGAAAGCCUUGAGCUCAACUCAAGAAAUGCAUUCAGGACUGGGCGGCUAGAGGACCGGAGAGGAUAGUGGAAUUCCCAGUGUAGUGGUGAAAUGCGUAGAGAUUGGGAAGAACACCAGUGGCGAAGGCGGCUAUCUGGACGGUUUCUGCCACUUAGACUCGAAAGCGUGGGGAGCAAACAUG
RNAcentral lists this ribosomal RNA (253 nucleotides) under uncultured bacterium. RNAcentral's name for it is "partial 16S ribosomal RNA". It matches the Rfam family "Bacterial small subunit ribosomal RNA", at positions 524 to 776 of the family's 1533-position model. The record is from RNAcentral.